CUCCCAUUCCCACGACCAUGAUGCAGGCGAAUGCCAGGAUACCCACAGCCACGCCGAGACCCACAGAGGAGUCCACGGGUUUUUUUGUGCUGAUUGACACAUCUGAGAUGCAAAGACAUACAAGGAGUGACAGAGACAGGAUGAAGAAACACAUGCUCAUAACCCCGAGGAUUGCGAUGGCAGAAAUCAAGGCACUCGUCACUGAAUUCAUUUUGAAUGGAGGUUGGUGGCUUUUACGGCGGCGAACACUCGUGUCUUCAGAGUAAGUCCAGACAUUGGGAUGGCAAGGUGCUGGAUGUAUGUGGAGUCCUUAAACAUUGAACACCACAGUGAUAAAGCCAACUUACGAAGCAAGCUGUGUGUUGUUGACCAGGUAUUCCAGUGGGUAACUACAACUGAACUUGUAAAGCAGUCCUGGUAGAUAGCUGAUGACCGUUGGGGGAUCCGGAGUGUCAAUGUAUCCUGCUAUAUUCCCAAUCUGAACCAGGGAAAGAUUCCCAUAUGCGUUGGGCCCCUGAGCCGUUGAGACCUACAGACACAGUGGCACUAAACUGUGAUUGUUCUUCCUGAAACUAAUGUACCUUCACCUCCAUAAUCCUCAGCCAUUUUAUCAAUGCCGGAUCUCUGCCAUCACCAAACCAAAGAUAAAAAUCCAGCUCACCGCAGAUGUUCUUCAUUUAUCAUGACCAAAUUGUCAUAGAGAGAAUACUGUCUCUCCAAACACAAGCUGAAUUUUAGCAGUUACUGUAACAAAUGAGUUUUUCUUACUAAUGACUGAACCUGAAAUAAAAGUUCUGGGUCAUUUAAGGG
Long non-coding RNA from Megalobrama amblycephala (Wuchang bream), 810 nucleotides. RefSeq lists it as uncharacterized. The transcript has 4 exons. Lineage: Eukaryota; Metazoa; Chordata; Actinopteri; Cypriniformes; Xenocyprididae. The record is from RefSeq and is a predicted model, not a curated record.